UGGUAGGGAUGAUUAUUGGGCUUAAAGCGUCCGUAGCCGGCCCAGCAAGUCUUCCGUUAAAUCCAGCGACUUAAUCGUUGGGCUGCGGGAGAUACUGUUGGGCUAGGGGGCGGGAGAGGCCGACGGUAUUCUCGGGGUAGGGGUGAAAUCCUAUAAUCCCGGGAAGACCACCAGUGGCGUAG
RNAcentral lists this ribosomal RNA (182 nucleotides) under Candidatus Bathyarchaeota archaeon. RNAcentral's name for it is "partial 16S ribosomal RNA". It matches the Rfam family "Archaeal small subunit ribosomal RNA", at positions 489 to 671 of the family's 1478-position model. Lineage: Archaea; Thermoproteati; Candidatus Bathyarchaeota. The record is from RNAcentral.